UACGAAGGGGGCUAGCGUUGCUCGGAUUUACUGGGCGUAAAGCGCACGUAGGCGGCUUUGCAAGUUAGAGGUGAAAGCCCAGGGCUUAACCCUGGAAUUGCCUUUAAAACUGCAUCGCUAGAAUUGUGGAGAGGUAAGUGGAAUUCCGAGUGUAGAGGUGAAAUUCGUAGAUAUUCGGAAGAACACCAGUGGCGAAGGCGACUUACUGGACACAUAUUGACGCUGAGGUGCGAAAGCGUGGGGAGCAAACAGG
RNAcentral lists this ribosomal RNA (253 nucleotides) under uncultured bacterium. Its description in RNAcentral is "partial 16S ribosomal RNA". It matches the Rfam family "Bacterial small subunit ribosomal RNA", at positions 524 to 776 of the family's 1533-position model. The record is from RNAcentral.